GGCGGGUCCCCCCUUUUCUUUCUCUUCCCCCCCUCACUUCCUCAGGGCUUGGGGCCCCGGGCGCCCCCCUUCGGAGCCCCGCCGCCCCGAGAAGCCCAAUGGCCUCAUGGGGGGGGGGGGUCUGUGGAGAGGCCGAGAGGCGGAGCGAGCAGCCGGGAAGACUGUUGCUACUGGUGGUGCUGCUGCGGGUCGCUCAAGGGCUCAUCCGGGUGGAGGAGGAGAGGCGAAAUCUCACACUGCUAAGGGCGCCCGGGCUCCUCUGUUCUUCUUCCUCUUCUUCCUCUAGGGAUGACCUUGCAAAAGUCUCGGGAGAGAGGGAAGGCGCGCUUUCAACUCUCCUCCGCGGCUCCUUCUGCUUCUCCAGGCCGCUGCAAGGGCAAAGCCUUGGAGGCGCAGAGAGAAAGAGAGGUCCUCUGCAGCGCCCGGCUUCUCCUCCUUCUCGGUCUCCUCCUCCUCCACGUGGGUCUCGCUCCAGUCGGUUUCCUGCCCGGGCUGGGGAAGCGCAGCACGUCCGCUCAGAGUCUGGCGCACUUACGAAGCGCCUUGCUAGGAUCAAGAGGAUGGGAUGGGAAGCAGCCAGCCCUUCCUGCCCGGAGUCCUUCUCCGGCAGAGAGAGUGAGGAGCAGAGGCGAAGAAGUUUGCUCCUCCGCAGGGCACCCCUCCUUCUCUCUUUCUCCCUCCCUCCUCGGAGGAAAAGGGAAGAAGGCAAGGGGACUCCGGCUGACUUUCCCAGAAAGGGAGGGAGAGGGGGCGUGGCCUCGUUGGGCAUAGCCCCGCCCCCUUGUUUACAUAUCGAGGUGACGCGUUGCAGGGCGCACGUGGCCAAUGCGCCAGCGGCGGAAUGCCCAGAGCAGUGUGGCCAAGGGACGAAGUUGGACUAACAACACUAUGUCGAUGUGCUCACUCCAGACCUCUCUGGAAAUUCACCACCAUCAUUCGGAUCAAUCCUUGGCUGUAUGAUUUUUUCCGUGACAGAAAUGACUUGAGAACUACUAAAUAGAAUAGAAUUUCAAUUUUACAUACAUACUGAUUUUUUUUUAAUUGUGUCAGAAGCGACUUGAGAAGCUACUGCCAGUUGCUUCUGGUGUGAGAGAACUGGCCAUCUUUGCCCAGGGGAUGUGUUACUAUCUGCUGGGAGGCUUCUCUCAUGUCCCUGCAAGCUAGAGCUGACAGACAGGAGCUCACCCCAUGUCGCAGAUUCGAAGUGGCAACCUUCAGGUCACCAACCCAACCUUCAGAUUAGCAGCCCAGCCAACACAAGGCUUUAACUCAUUGUGCCACCACAGCUCCCUUAUACUGAUGAAGCUUUUUCAAUAUUUUUGAAGCUUCUUUCUAUUUUUGUUUUCCUUGAAACAGAAAUGAGUGUGGGGUAGAGAUUUACUUUUCAAUUUCACAGAAUAGGCUUUAGUUAAGUAGACUCUCUCUCUGUCACCCAAAACAGGGCUUUCUUAUUAUCUGGCCUCCCAGGUAAGAGAAAGGCAUAGCACACUCAUUAUUUCCAGUUUUGCUGAAGAUACAAGGCACACACUGCUUGAGCAGGGAAAGUAAUCAUACAAAAAGCCAUGUGUUUAUUGCUGUGGAUUCAUAUAUGGUUUGCAGCAUAGGGGCAACCCUGUCCCUUUUAAUCGUUGCUGUACCCCAUGUUUGUUUAAUCCAGGUAACUGGCUGGCAGAUGAACCCGUCUUGUGAUCUUUUGCAAGCACAGAGCACAACUCUGACUGCAAAGUUCCUCUGCAUUCCCUGCAAGAGAUGACAUAAUGCUGUGGCAAAUUAGAGAAGCCGGUGCUUGCGGGCAUCACUCUGGAUCAGGGCACCCGGCAGCACUGCAGAUAAAGUCUUGUAACUUCAGUGCAGCUGUAGGUCAUGUUGUUUCUUGCAUGCUAACUGGCUUUCUCCUGUCAAUCACCGGCUUGCUUUGUACCGUUCUUCCUUCCCUCCUGACCCUGCUGCAUCUCCUCCGCACUCUUGAAAGCAGCGUUCCAGAUGUAUUGGACUUCAUACACCAGCUGGAAACAAUGCAGCUCAAGGGCACCAGGUUACAGAUAUUCCCCUUUGCAUUAGAGCAGGAAUACUUGCCUGUUCUAUUGCCCUGACUUUGCUCAUCUUUCAAAAGGGGUUUUUUAAGGAAACAAUCCAAAUUGCACUGUUUGUGUCUGACAUCAUACUGAAGACCAGGGUUAAUACAAAACGUGCUCUAGCAUGGUGGCAUCAUCAUCAUCAUCCCAGGGAAUAAAAAAAUCUGAGUUUGUUAAACAAACAGAUUCACGCAAGUCCACAACAUCACCAUUUGGAAAUUAGCAGAUGGGAAAAGCUGAAGCAGGAACAACCAACUAGCUCUUAAUGUGUGCUCAGAAGCUACUGUGACAAUGGCAGUCGCUGCAGAUUUCCUCUCUCUUGUCUGCCUAUUUUGCAUCAUAACAAUAUUUGAGUGGAAUCACAUUCAGAUCUAGGAGCAGUUUUAACAUAAAUUGCCAUUGAAAAUAUUUGCCAUGUCAGGAUUUUGCGAUAGAUGAAUACAUGCUUUAAUUUGUUGUGGCUGCAUGUUUACAGUCUUUUCAGUCAUCUGAGAACUUACUACACUGACAGUGUCUUUAUUCCCUAUGGUUAUUAACAGCAGUACUUUUAGAAUGCUGCUAGUGGUUUGAUGCCAAAUUGGGUAUCGAAAAUAUUUCAUUGGGAAAUAUAGAUAAUGGCAAUGCCAUAUACCCUUCCUCUGGUAAGAACUUUUGCAGCAAAGUCACCAUUCGACUGGGCAAUUGCCCAUGCUAGGUACAAAAAAUCAGGCUCAAGGGCCCUCAUGGAUGGGGUGGAGAAUUACCUACAAAGCUAUAUUACAUGUUGAACAGCAAUGGUUAAUUUUGGGUCUUCUAAAAUAUGAUUGAAAUGAUACUUUACAUUUCAAAAUGAGACCAAUUUUUCUCAUUCUUUUUUACACUGAAACAGUACUUACACUGACUUGUGGAUAAGCAAACCCCCAGGUUUUUGGGGUCUGUUUUUGACUUAAAAUUAUGGACUUCUACAUGAGCAUUUACAGUAUGUCAUAAACAACAGAAAUUGUUCUUUCACAAAAAUUGUUAUCAUGUCUAUUCAAGAAAGGAAAAGUCAGCAAAUUUUGGGAGAUACAAUACUGCUAAUACUUCCUUAACUUCACUUUAAUAAGAGUCCUGUGCCCCUAAUUCCAGUGAACAUGUUUUGGAGGAACUACAUUUUGGAAAGAAGUGAUCACAGAAGGAAAUUUGGUUUUGGAAUGUCAGGGAUUAUUUACCUGUGUCUUGGAAAUUAUAGCAAACAGAAGUAUAUUUUUGUACUCUUUCAGUUGCUAAAAGACUGCUAUUUUGUUACUUUUUCAUGUCAGAAGUGGCUUGAGAAACUGCAAGUCGCUUCUGGUGUGAGAGAAUUGGCCGUCUGGAAGGAUGUUGUCCAGGGAACACCCGGAUGUUUUUACCAUCCUUGUGGGAGGCUUCUCUCAUGUCCCCGCAUUAGGAACUGGAGCUGACAUAGGGAGCUCAUCCAUGCUGUCCCCAGGUUGGAUUCGAAUCGGCAAUCUUCAGGUCAGCAUCCCAACCUUCAAGUCAUCAGCCCUGCCGGCACAAGGGUUUAACCCAUUGCACCACCAGGGGCUCCUUAUUUUGUUACUAAAAAAAUAUAUUUCCCCAUCUGUGAUCCAAUGGAUAGAACAUCUAACAAUGUUUGCAAGACCUGAAAAAAUGAAGCAUAGCUGAAAUUUAUAAAUGGACAUAUUUGGACGUUUAGUCAGCUUUUAUAGAGACUACCAACUAAUGUGGUUAUUUUAGCUCCUUUCAUGUUUUUAUUUUAUGGCUUUUGUUACACUGGAACAUUAUUGCAUAUAACUGAGAUCCCUUUUGAAGGUAAACAUCUAUUUUUAAUGUUAUUCCUCCACAUUUGUAGUUUUGACUUUUGCAGAUUUGAUUAUUCACGAAUUAAAAAAUCUUCUCUCUAGCAAUCUCUAGGUCCUCUAAUGUGAGUCUAUGAUCAGCUUCCAACAGAAGUUGACCAUACAGUCAUGCUGGAGGACGCAGAAAUUCCUAGAAAGAUGUUUUCUCGUGUUCAAAAAUGCCUUUAUUUGCAUUUUCCACAUUCACAAGGGUCCUGUGCUCCUAUCCUCAGUGAAUGUGGAGUAAUUUAAAAUAAAAAUCCAAUAAGCACUUCUGUUAGUAAAGUGGGACAUUAACAUGAAUGGCCUAGAUACAGAGGUCACAUUGGAUAACUAGUAUUGAUUGAAGAACAUUUCACUAUGGGAUGGUUCAACCUGGUAAUACUCCAAGCCAACCAACCAAAAUAGCAUGGUACUAUCGGCUUUCUUUUUCCCCCUGCUUCAUAAGAGGAAUACCUAUCAUUUUUCGUGCUGCAGCCUGAGAUCUUUCUGCAGCAAGUAUGCUCUAAUCCAGGGGUCCUCAAACUUUUAAAGCAGAGGGCUGGUCCACAAUCCUUCAGACUGUUGAGGGGCCAAAUGAUCAUUUAAAGAAAAAAAAAUGAACAAAUUCCUAUGCACACUGCAUAUGUCUUAUUUGUAGUGCAAAAAGAACAACAACAACAACAACAACAAAAGAAAAAUACAAUAUUUAAAAAUAAAAACCAACUCAAACCUAUCAGGAUUUCAAUGGGACGUGUGGACCUGCUUCUGGCCAACAAGAUAGUCAAGUUAAUUAGGAUUAUUGUUGUUGUCAAGUCAUUUCAGAUUUUGGGCGAGCCUAAGUCAAAAAUUUAUUUAUUAUUUAUUUAUUUAUUUACUACAUUUAUAUCCUGUCCUUCUCACCCCGAAGGGGACUCAGAGCGGCUUACAAUUUAUAUCUAUAUAUUAUAUAUUACGGUAUAUUAUUAGCAUAGAACAAUAUUAGCAUUAUAUAUUACUAUAUUGAAUUAUACCACUAUAUUGUAAUAAUAUUAGUAAUAUUACAUGUAAUAUAUAAUAUACAAUUAAUAUUAUUAUAUGGUAUUAUUAUUAGUAUUACAUUGUAUUACAUUAUAAUAUUUCUAUCAAUAUUAUAUGUAUAUACA
This is a long non-coding RNA of Anolis carolinensis (green anole), 5019 nucleotides long. Lineage: Eukaryota; Metazoa; Chordata; Lepidosauria; Squamata; Anolidae. The record is from Ensembl.